RNAcentral lists this unclassified non-coding RNA (227 nucleotides) under uncultured Tubaria. RNAcentral's name for it is "sequence contains ITS1". The record is from RNAcentral. Lineage: Eukaryota; Fungi; Basidiomycota; Agaricomycetes; Agaricales; Strophariaceae.
UUGAAUAAACCUGAUGGGUUGUCGCUGGCUUUUUAGGGAGCAUGUGCACGCCUGUCAUCUUUAUAUUUCCACCUGUGCACCUUUUGUAGAUCUGGAUAACUCUCGAGGUUAAACUCGGAUGGGAGUGCUGCUUUUAGCUUCACUCCAAUUUCCAGGUCUAUGUUUUCAUACACCCCAUAGUAUGUAACAGAAUGUAUCAAAGGGCCUUUGUGCCUAUAAAUAUUAUA